UUUGUACUCCCUCCGUCCCAACAUACUUGUCUUAAAUUUGUCUAAAUACGGAUGUAUCUAGUUACAUUUUAGUGUUAGAUACAUCCGUAUCUAAACAAAUGUAAGACAAGAAUUUUGGGACGGAGAGAAUACUAC
Triticum aestivum (bread wheat) is the source of this 135-nucleotide non-coding RNA. The record is from Rfam. NCBI's taxonomy places the organism in Eukaryota, Viridiplantae, Streptophyta, Magnoliopsida, Poales, Poaceae.